UGGGGAAUCUUAGACAAUGGGGGCAASCCUGAUCUAGCCAUGCCGCGUGAGUGAUGAAGGCCUUAGGGUCGUAAAGCUCUUUCKCCAGGGAUGAUAAUGACAGUAUCUGGUAAAGAAACCCCGGCUAACUCCGUGCCAGCAGCCGCGGUAAUACGGAGGGGGUUAGCGUUGUUYGGAAUUACUGGGCGUAAAGCGCACGUAGGCGGAUUAGAAAGUUGGGGGUGAAAUCCCCGGGCUCAACCCUGGAACUGCCUCCAAAACUAUCAGUCUAGAGUUCGAGAGAGGUGAGUGGAAUUCCGAGUGUAGAGGUGAAAUUYGUAGAUAUUUGGAGGAACACCAGUGGCGAAGGCGGCUCACUGGCUCGAUACUGACGCUGAGGUGCGAAAGUGUGGGGAGCAAACAGGAUUAGAUACCCUGGUAGUCCACACCGUAAACGAUGAAUGCCAGUCGUCGGGGAGUAUACUUUUCGGUGACACACCUAACGGAUUAAGCAUUCCGC
Molecule: ribosomal RNA, 499 nt
Filed under: uncultured Paracoccaceae bacterium
Lineage: Bacteria; Pseudomonadati; Pseudomonadota; Alphaproteobacteria; Rhodobacterales; Paracoccaceae
Description: bacterial SSU rRNA
Source: RNAcentral